This 77-nucleotide transfer RNA is filed under the name Blastococcus sp. TF02A-35. RNAcentral's name for it is "Blastococcus sp. TF02A_35 tRNA-Pro". It matches the Rfam family "tRNA". From Rfam's summary of the family: Transfer RNA (tRNA) molecules are approximately 80 nucleotides in length. Lineage: Bacteria; Bacillati; Actinomycetota; Actinomycetes; Geodermatophilales; Geodermatophilaceae. The record is from RNAcentral.
CGGGGUGUAGCGCAGCUUGGUAGCGCACCUGCUUUGGGAGCAGGGGGCCGCAGGUUCAAAUCCUGUCACCCCGACCA